RNAcentral lists this ribosomal RNA (494 nucleotides) under uncultured bacterium. RNAcentral's name for it is "partial 16S ribosomal RNA". It matches the Rfam family "Bacterial small subunit ribosomal RNA", at positions 28 to 507 of the family's 1533-position model. The record is from RNAcentral.
GACGAACGCUGGCGGCGUGCUUAACACAUGCAAGUCGAACGGUCAAGCGCCUUCCUUUCUGGUGGGUGUGGAUGAGUGGCGAACGGGUGAGUACCACGUGAGUCUCCUGCUCCCUCUUUCUGGACAACCGCAUGAAAGUGUGGCUAAUACGGGAUAUUCUGGGUCUGUUGCUUGAUGGGUGUGGGACAGAUUUUGUUUCGGUGGGGGAUGGGUCCGCGGUGUAUCAGCUUGUUGGUGGGGUGAUGGCCUACCAAGGCGGUGACGGGUAGCCGGCCUGGGAGGGUGGACGGUCACACUGGGACUGAGACACGGCCCAGACUCCUACGGGAGGCAGCAGUGGGGAAUAUGGCACAGUGGGCGCAAGCCUGAUGCAGCGACGCCGCGGGAGGGAUGGAGGCCUUCGGGUUGUGAACCUCUUUCGCCAGUGAAGCAGGCCUGCCUCGUUUGUGGGUGGGUUGACGGUAGCUGGAUAAGAAGCGCCGGCUAACUACGUG